RNAcentral lists this ribosomal RNA (403 nucleotides) under bacterium. RNAcentral's name for it is "partial 16S ribosomal RNA". It matches the Rfam family "Bacterial small subunit ribosomal RNA", at positions 355 to 776 of the family's 1533-position model. The record is from RNAcentral.
UGGGGAAUCUUGCACAAUGGGGGAAACCCUGAUGCAGCGACGCCGCGUGAGCGAUGAAGGUUUUCGAAUCGUAAAGCUCUGUCCUAUGGGAAGAUAAUGACGGUACCAUAGGAGGAAGCCCCGGCUAACUACGUGCCAGCAGCCGCGGUAAUACGUAGGGGGCGAGCGUUGUCCGGAAUUACUGGGCGUAAAGGGUUCGCAGGCGGCAUGACAAGUCCGAUGUAAAAGGCGAAAACUCAACUUUCGUAAGCAUCGGAAACUGUCAAGCUUGAGUGAAGGAGAGGCAAGUGGAAUUCCUAGUGUAGCGGUGGAAUGCGUAGAUAUUAGGAGGAAUACCGGUGGCGAAGGCGACUUGCUGGACUUCAACUGACGCUGAGGAACGAAAGCGUGGGUAGCAAACAGG